AUCGCGCCUUUGGGCUGUGAUUCCUCCCCUCACCCUGAGCUGACAGAUGAUGGAAACGCAUGACGAUCGUAUUACUCGGACGACAUCUAAUAAGAUUAUUCGGAAGGGACAUCAGGACUGCUGAUUGGCUAACUCUACCAAUCACGGUACGAUCGUCGUUGCAAACCGACCGAUUCAAAGGUUAUCGCCCAGCGGUGUUGCGGUGUGAACUAGGAAAUUGCCCGCAAUCGUGAGUGGGAUUGUUUGAUUACUAUUGAAAUCGUAUUCGAGCAGUCGGACAGGCAGUCGAGCAGUGAUACAGUACUCUACACAAAAAAGCAGCUGCAGCUACACACGACACACAAAGAUCGAUGGACAUGCCUCCCAAGUUGUUGGUAGAGGGGAAAUCCCACGCAGACGCAUCGGCAACAGCACCAGAACUGGUUUUCUGGUUUGCAUACAAAACAACAGUUGGACUGACGUGUGUUUGUUGCUCGACGCACAGAAGUAUGGACCGGUGUGGACGCAGUCGAAACACUAGCACUUCGAUCCAAUUAUGUAUUUUUAUCUGGAGAGUUUUAUGGCUUUGCUUUUAAGCGAUCCUUUCUCGAUCGGUUAAUACAAAUCAAGCAAGAUUGUGUAAUGAUGCUGACGUGCUGGUUGGUUUAACCAGAAGUAGUUCUUAUUUCCAUAACCAGAAGUGCCUAAUUUACAAUUUAAUAUGAAUAAGUUGGAGAGACAACACUGGCAUGCUGAUCGUUUAGUACAACUCAAGUUUAUUAAACCUUUUCUGCAAAGUAUAAUUCUACCGUACCAUGUAGCUACAUAAACCUUACGCUCUAUUACACUACGAUCGUUCUAAUUUACAUAAAGCAACGAACUAUAUUUCAUCUCUCUCUUUCUCUCUCUCUCUCUCUCUCUCUGUCUCGUGCAAAUAAACGGCAAAUUCAUUGUGUCGGUGUGACAUGAAAGAGUUGUUCGUCGGUUAAUCCACUGGUAACGAACCACACAAAAACCUGGGAAACUAGUCAAAGGUUCACUGUUUUGCAAUAAUCUAUAACUUGAUUGAUUUGCGUACGAGCUUGAUCGGAAUGAUUGAUGGCAAAAGAAACAACAACAAUAACAAGUAAAACCCAACUUAACAACUUUCUUCUCCCCUCACACUCACACACACACUGCCUACUCCUUGCGGUGGCCCACUUUUGAUGACGCCGCUCCGUUGUCGUUCUUCCAGUUGGUCAAUACCUUUUCGUGCUGCUUGCCCAAAAACGGUUCCCUUUUGCCAGUGCCUGUCCCAUCGAACCGGUUCGUGUGUGACGUGCCGUGCUGAACCGUUACGUGAUUGUUCCUGGCGAGUGGAGAAAGGAUUCAUUGUGCGGUUGGUUAUGCAAUGGAUGGGGGCACAGCAGUGCCAGCAGUAGCCCUUUGCUGCUUGGGCCGCUUCUUUGCACUAACCGUAUUUCACGCUUCUGCCGUCGCAGCGUGGUAGGAUCCUUCUUGCGCACGUACAGUGCGGCUGCAACGACGACCUCCUCAUGCACACUGCCAGCGUCCGGCACUCCGCCGAGCGGUUUGUCCGCCCGGGUGUCCUCUUGCGCGGGCAUGGACAGGACGCAUCCGACAACCAGCAGCAAAAGACA
Molecule: long non-coding RNA, 1619 nt
Organism: Anopheles arabiensis
Lineage: Eukaryota; Metazoa; Arthropoda; Insecta; Diptera; Culicidae
Exons: 2
Source: RefSeq, a predicted model, not a curated record